ACGUCACUGGCGCUACACAAUUCCCAUUCAUUCUUACGGUCCUCGACUGAUGAGCAGCCCCUUCUUUCCCACCUGUCUCCGAAUUCGUUGCGGAGAAUCUGCUUCUACCCAAGUAGCAUUGUCAUCUACUUUCUGGGUGGCGCCCAUCAAGGAAAUGUCUACUUUCUAGAUAGAACAAUUUUCUUGAAAGAAAAUAGGUAGAAAGUAGAUCUAGAAAAUAGACACAAGAAAAUAGAAAGAAAAUACAUUUUUUCCUUGCAUUUUCUUAAAAGAAAACAUUAAGAAAUUGGCUAGAAAAUAAUUCUACUUUCAAUAAAUUUUCUAUAUUUUUUCCAAAUGGAAAGUUGACAGAAAGUAGACAUAUGAAAUAGAUAUAUUUCUUUGGUCAGACUUUUGACUCGCAAUGUUUUUUCUUUCUAUUUUCUGGAUAGCUCUCAUUUUCUUUGUUUUUUUCUAGAAAUUUUCUGAAUAUUUUUUUUCUAGAAAAAAAUUCUAUUUUGCUACUUGGGUAGGUAGAGGUAUAUUAUUCUGCAAGUUAUGGACAGACCUACGCUCACUUAGUACGAUAAAAACUCAUACAGGAAAUGAAGGAGACCCAACGCUAUAUAGCGUAGAAAGCUGGAGGGCUCCUAUAAAGAUAAGAAAUUUCUUGAUUUUUGUUUCAGGAUUGUAACCCGUUACAAGUUUACGAGAAGAACGAGUGCCGGUGCAAGUGCGCCAACACAGAGAAACAGAAAAAUGCGAGAACGAAAGUGCCACCAAACUGUGGGACCCCAAGAGCUGUUCCUGUCAAUGCCGAGAAGUCCAAGAGUGCAGCACUGGAUUGAUUUGGGAUAAUUUGCGAUGCAGCUGUGUUCCGACUCCAAGAACGAAGAACAGGAUUGGGCAGGACGCGCAAGAUCGAACGCGAUACAGACUUGGAGCUGAUAGGAUUUAGACAGCCGUUUACAGGAGCAUUCUGCAAUAAAAUUGGCGAUUCGUUGACCUUAGUGAGAUUAUAUUUUCUGUGUGCCUGCGUGUGAUUUUUUGAGCUGCAAACAGUGGCGAGGCGUGAAUGAUCGAUUAUCGAUAUUUCCCUAUUUGAAGCUAUGGGAAAGAAUCGAUGAUUAAGGUGCUCGUCGCGAACACCCUGUUGAUCGAUCUUUUGCCAUAGAUUUAAAUUAUAGUCCCUUUAUACCCAAAGUUAAGAC
This 1190-nucleotide long non-coding RNA is filed under the name Bemisia tabaci. Its description in RNAcentral is "lncRNA ENSSSA3NGG007303". Lineage: Eukaryota; Metazoa; Arthropoda; Insecta; Hemiptera; Aleyrodidae. The record is from RNAcentral.